This 492-nucleotide ribosomal RNA is filed under the name uncultured bacterium. Its description in RNAcentral is "partial 16S ribosomal RNA". It matches the Rfam family "Bacterial small subunit ribosomal RNA", at positions 29 to 507 of the family's 1533-position model. The record is from RNAcentral.
AGUGAACGCUGGCGGUAGGCCUAACACAUGCAAGUCGAACGGCAGCACAGUAAGAGCUUGCUCUUACGGGUGGCGAGUGGCGGACGGGUGAGGAAUACAUCGGAAUCUACUUUUUCGUGGGGGAUAACGUAGGGAAACUUACGCUAAUACCGCAUACGACCUACGGGUGAAAGCAGGGGAUCUUCGGACCUUGCGCGGUUGAAUGAGCCGAUGUCGGAGUAGCUAGUUGGCGGGGUAAAGGCCCACCAAGGCGACGAUCCGUAGCUGGUCUGAGAGGAUGAUCAGCCACACUAGAGCUGAGACACGGUCCAGGCUCCUACGGGAGGCAGCAGUGGGGAAUAUUGGACAAUGGGCGCAAGCCUGAUCCAGCCAUACCGCGUGGGUGAAGAAGGCCUUCGGGUUGUAAAGCCCUUUUGUUGGGAAAGAAAAGCAGCAGGUUAAUACCCCGCUGUUCUGACGGUACCCAAAGAAUAAGCACCGGCUAACUUCGUG